Small nucleolar RNA from Ornithorhynchus anatinus (platypus), 138 nucleotides. Lineage: Eukaryota; Metazoa; Chordata; Mammalia; Monotremata; Ornithorhynchidae. The record is from RefSeq and is a predicted model, not a curated record.
ACCCUCUCAGGAUCGCACCUGGAGAGUUUCCAGUAUUCUACCCGUCUUGGCUGUGGGAAGGAGAGUCAAGCAGAGGUAUUCCCAUUCCAUUCCUAGCUUGGGCAGUGGCUAGGGAGUGGAAAGCAAUCUGCUACGAGG